AUGAGCGGAUCCACACCGACCCACACGGGCGGGGCCAAAACAAAGUCUGACGUGCAGGUCACCAUCGACGUCCACGACCAAGACUGCCCCACAAGCGCCGGAUUCCAGACUGGCUCCUCCUACACCUCCUCAUCAUCCUCCAGCAUCACCCCAUCCUCUAGCUCGGGAAUGGCGACAUCACCAGCGGCCGACAAAGCAAGCCACAUCGCCAGGCCUUUCAACUCCUUCAAUUCGUCAAGCCUAGAGUCCUUGAGCACCUUCUCCAAGACCUCGUCCUCCUCCUCCUUUGCUACAGGUGGAGAUGUUGGUGGGGACGGCGAUGUCGAGGGUGCACACGCGCAUGAGGUGGCAUGUGAGCACGCACGACACGUGGUGGGCUAG
RNAcentral lists this ribosomal RNA (381 nucleotides) under Triticum aestivum (bread wheat). RNAcentral's name for it is "partial small subunit ribosomal RNA". Lineage: Eukaryota; Viridiplantae; Streptophyta; Magnoliopsida; Poales; Poaceae. The record is from RNAcentral.